This 213-nucleotide long non-coding RNA is filed under the name Eucalyptus grandis. RNAcentral describes it as "long non-coding RNA (EGRA_LNC001137)". Lineage: Eukaryota; Viridiplantae; Streptophyta; Magnoliopsida; Myrtales; Myrtaceae. The record is from RNAcentral.
GUGGUUUGCGCAACCGCAUGAUCACCUCACAUGUUAGGAAGAUAAAUUAAAAUCAAUUCAAGCUGCCUGCAAAAUAUUUUUUUCAAAUAAAAAAGAAAAGGUACCGAAAGGGCGUUAGAGAAAUCUAGCGUAAUCAAGUCCCCGAACUCAUUUAAUCUCUGGUUCGUAGGAGUGAAGUAAUUCUCCCAUUACUUUACUUGGGUUUCUAAUCGA